ACGCGAAGAACCUUACCAAAUCUUGACAUCCUUUGACAACUCUAGAGAUAGAGUCUUCCCCUUCGGGGGACAAAGUGACAGGUGGUGCAUGGUUGUCGUCAGCUCGUGUCGUGAGAUGUUGGGUUAAGUCCCGCAACGAGCGCAACCCUUAAGCUUAGUUGCCAGCAUUAAGUUGGGCACUCUAAGUUGACUGCCGGUGACAAACCGGAGGAAGGUGGGGAUGACGUCAAAUCAUCAUGCCCCUUAUGAUUUGGGCUACACACGUGCUACAAUGGACAAUACAAAGGGCAGCUAAACCGCGAGGUCAUGCAAAUCCCAUAAAGUUGUUCUCAGUUCGGAUUGUAGUCUGCAACUCGACUACAUGAAGCUGGAAUCGCUAGUAAUCGUAGAUCAGCAUGCUACGGUGAAUACGUUCCCGGGUCUUGUACACACCGCCCGUCACACCACGAGAGUCUGUAACACCCGAAGCCGGUGGAGUAACCAUUUAUGGAGCUAGCCGUCGAAGGUGGGACAAAUGAUUGGGGUGAAGUCGUAACAAGGUAGCCGUAUCGGAA
Molecule: ribosomal RNA, 554 nt
Filed under: uncultured bacterium
Lineage: Bacteria
Description: bacterial SSU rRNA
Rfam family: Bacterial small subunit ribosomal RNA
Source: RNAcentral